Molecule: long non-coding RNA, 604 nt
Organism: Dicentrarchus labrax (European seabass)
Lineage: Eukaryota; Metazoa; Chordata; Actinopteri; Moronidae
Exons: 2
Source: RefSeq, a predicted model, not a curated record
ACUGCAGGGGAAGGAAGCAGAUAAAGAAAGAGAGUCUUGUUGUUAAAUAAACCACCUCAGAUAGCAGUGUGUAUACACCAUCUGCAUACGCCCUCCUAAGUGCCUCCUAUUACCACUUUGAACUAAUUGUUAGGCAGUGAGUAUAUAAAAACGUGUGUGCAGCUCUAUCAAACUGUUCAUCAGCCAUGGACAGAACUGUGCUUCUGGUCCUGUUGACUCUGCAGGUUUUCCUGCUCAUCACAGCCUUCGCUUCUGCUGACACAGCUCUGGUGACAGAUGAUCAACAACAACCAAAUGCUCUGCCUCGCCUAAUGGUGACCUGACUGCACCAGGUGGUUGUUGCACAGAACCAUCUGGGAAGUCGCUGUUUGGAAGAGGACAGGCACUUAAAAUACCACUAUCUAUCACGAGCGAACCAACCAGAUCUACAAACCAUAUAAUGUAUAAUGAUUCUUAUAUAUAUAUAUAUAUAUAUAUAUUGACUAUAUAUAUAUAUAUAUAUCUCACCUGAUCUCUCAAGUCCAUCUGGCUUUUGGGUGUUCACAGGAAUUUCAGGAGUUAUAGUUGCUGACAAAUACAUUAAUAAACAUUGCUUGCAACCACA